UGAAAGCGGGGGAUCGCAAGACCUCGCGCGAUUGGAGCGGCCGAUAUCAGAUUAGGUAGUUGGUGAGGUAAAGGCUCACCAAGCAACGAUCUGUAGCUGGUCUGAGAGGACGACCAGCCACACUGGAACUGAGACACGGUCCAGACUCCUACGGGAGGCAGCAGUGGGGAAUUUUGGACAAUGGACGCAAGUCUGAUCCAGCCAUUCCGCGUGCAGGAUGAAGGCCCUCGGGUUGUAAACUGCUUUUGUACGGAACGAAAAGGUUUGUCUUAAUACGAUGAGCUCAUGACGGUACCGUAAGAAUAAGCACCGGCUAACUACGUG
RNAcentral lists this ribosomal RNA (324 nucleotides) under uncultured bacterium. RNAcentral describes it as "bacterial SSU rRNA". It matches the Rfam family "Bacterial small subunit ribosomal RNA", at positions 201 to 507 of the family's 1533-position model. The record is from RNAcentral.